GAUGAACGCUGGCGGCGUGCCUAAUACAUGCAAGUCGAGCGAACAGACGAGGAGCUUGCUCCUCUGACGUUAGCGGCGGACGGGUGAGUAACACGUGGAUAACCUACCUAUAAGACUGGGAUAACUUCGGGAAACCGGAGCUAAUACCGGAUAAUAUAUUGAACCGCAUGGGUCAAUAGUGAAAGACGGUUUUGCUGUCACUUAUCGAUGGAUCCGCGCCGCAUUAGCUAGUUGGUAAGGUAACGGCUUACCAAGGCAACGAUGCGUAGCCGACCUGAGAGGGUGAUCGGCCACCUGGGAACGGGGACACGGACCAGGCUCCUACGGGAGGCAGCAGUAGGGAAUCGUCCGCAAUGGGCGAAAGCCUGACGGAGCAACGCCGCGUGAGUGAUGAAGGUCUUCGGAUCGUAAAACUCUGUUAUUAGUGAAGAACAAAUGUGUAAGUAACUAUGCACGUCUUGACGGUACCGAAUCAGAAAGCCACGGCUAACUACGUG
RNAcentral lists this ribosomal RNA (497 nucleotides) under uncultured bacterium. Its description in RNAcentral is "partial 16S ribosomal RNA". It matches the Rfam family "Bacterial small subunit ribosomal RNA", at positions 28 to 507 of the family's 1533-position model. The record is from RNAcentral.